ACUGAGACAAGGGCCCAGGUCCUACGGGGCGCAGCAGUCGCGAAAACUUUGCAAUACACGAAAGUGUGACAGGGUUAUCCCGAGUGCCGACCGCUGAGGUUGGCUUUACCCAGUCUAGAAAGCUGGGGGAAUAAGGAGAGGGCAGUCUGGUGUCAGCCGCCGCGGUAAUACCAGCUCUCCGAGUGGUGUGGACGUUUAUUGGGCCUAAAGCAUCCGUAGCUGGCUGAACAAGUCCCCUGUUAAACCCACCGAUUUAAUCGUUGGCGUGCGGGGGAUACUGCUCGGCUAGGGGACGAGAGAGGCAGACGGUAUUCCCGGGGUAGGGGUGAAAUCCUAUAAUCCCGAGAAAGACCACCAGUGGCGAAAGGCUGUCUGCUAAAACGCGC
Molecule: ribosomal RNA, 386 nt
Filed under: uncultured crenarchaeote
Lineage: Archaea; Thermoproteati; Thermoproteota
Description: bacterial SSU rRNA
Rfam family: Archaeal small subunit ribosomal RNA
Source: RNAcentral